UACGUACGAGGCGAGCGUUAUCCGGAAUUACUGGGCGUAAAGCGCGCGCAGGCGGACCAUUAAGUUGGGCGUGAAAUCUCCCGGCCUAACUGGGAGGGGUCGCCCAAGACUGGUGGUCUUGAGGACAGCAGAGGUGGGUGGAAUUCCUGGUGUAGUGGUGAAAUGCGUAGAUAUCGGGAGGAACACCAGUGGCGAAGGCGACUUCCUGGCCUGUUCUUGACGCUGAGGCGCGAAAGCUAGGGGAGCAAACGGG
RNAcentral lists this ribosomal RNA (253 nucleotides) under uncultured bacterium. RNAcentral describes it as "partial 16S ribosomal RNA". It matches the Rfam family "Bacterial small subunit ribosomal RNA", at positions 524 to 776 of the family's 1533-position model. The record is from RNAcentral.